CCCAGCUCUAAGUCAGCUGGCCAGACGUUGCAUGUCUGGCUCAGUGUUACAGUGCUGGCAGAUGAAGUCUCUGUACCUGGUCUCGGCUGUGCGGGCUCUGUUUUAGAGUCUGCUGCUCCUGAGCUGCUGCAGAGCGCGGCCCAACGAGAGUGGCCUGUCCUGAGCCAACAGCAGGGCAGGCCUAGUGCAGGGCUGCACACU
This is a small nucleolar RNA of Larimichthys crocea (large yellow croaker), 201 nucleotides long. Its record names the gene SNORA74. It matches the Rfam family "Small nucleolar RNA SNORA74". Rfam says of the family: U19 belongs to the H/ACA class of snoRNAs. snoRNAs bind a number of proteins (including dyskerin, Gar1p and Nop10p in the case of the H/ACA class) to form snoRNP complexes. This class are thought to guide the sites of modification of uridines to pseudouridines by forming direct base pairing interactions with substrate RNAs. Targets may include ribosomal and spliceosomal RNAs but the exact functions of many snoRNAs, including U19, are not confirmed. The record is from Ensembl. Lineage: Eukaryota; Metazoa; Chordata; Actinopteri; Sciaenidae.